UACGGGGGGGGCAAGCGUUGUUCGGAAUUACUGGGCGUAAAGGGCUCGUAGGCGGCCAACUAAGUCAGACGUGAAAUCCCUCAGCUUAACUGGGGAACUGCGUCUGAUACUGGAUGGCUCGAGUGUGGGAGAGGAAUGCGGAAUUCCAGGUGUAGCGGUGAAAUGCGUAGAUAUCUGGAGGAACACCGGUGGCGAAGGCGGCAUUCUGGACCAUAACUGACACUGAGAGACGAAAGCCAGGGGAGCAAACGGG
This 253-nucleotide ribosomal RNA is filed under the name uncultured bacterium. RNAcentral's name for it is "partial 16S ribosomal RNA". It matches the Rfam family "Bacterial small subunit ribosomal RNA", at positions 524 to 776 of the family's 1533-position model. The record is from RNAcentral.